Molecule: long non-coding RNA, 248 nt
Filed under: Gossypium barbadense (sea-island cotton)
Lineage: Eukaryota; Viridiplantae; Streptophyta; Magnoliopsida; Malvales; Malvaceae
Description: long non-coding RNA (GBAR_LNC017455)
Source: RNAcentral
AAAUACUCUGUCACUGAUGUCUUUAUACUUGGCUUCUUCCUUUUUCUUUUUAAUUUUGUUUAGUUUAUGUAAAGUGGAAUGCACGUAAGUUUGAACGCGACUAGGAUAUUGAAGGUGGGGAUUGUUUUAAAGGUAACCCGGUAAAAUUACUAUGGAGGUUUUUGUACUAGUAAUUGGAUUAUAUUUUGCUCUAAAUCGAUUUUUAUACAUUAAAUUAAAAAAUAAAUUAAUUUUUAUAUUAAAAAUAA